Molecule: ribosomal RNA, 520 nt
Filed under: uncultured bacterium
Lineage: Bacteria
Description: bacterial SSU rRNA
Rfam family: Archaeal small subunit ribosomal RNA
Source: RNAcentral
AACCUCCGCAAUGUGAGAAAUCGCGACGGGGGGAUCCCAAGUGCCAUUCUUAACGGGAUGGCUUUUCAUUAGUGUAAAGAGCUUUUGGAAUAAGGGCUGGGCAAGACCGGUGCCAGCCGCCGCGGUAACCCGGCAGCUCUAGUGGUAGCAGUUUUUAUUGGGCCUAAAGCGUCCGUAGCCGGUUUAAUAAGUCUCUGGUGAAAUCCUGUAGCUUAACUGUGGGAAUUGCUGGAGAUACUAUUAGACUUGAGACCGGGAGAGGUUAGAGGUACUCCCAGGGUAGAGGUGAAAUUCUGUAAUCCUGGGAGGACCGCCUGUUGCGAAGGCGUCUAACUGGAACGGUUCUGACGGUGAGGGACGAAAGUUAGGGGCGCGAACCGGAUUAGAUACCCGGGUAGUCCUAACUGUAAACGAUGCGGACUUGGUGUUGGGGUGGCUUUGAGCUGCUUCAGUGCCGAAGGGAAGCUGUUAAGUCCGCCGCCUGGGAAGUACGGUCGCAAGACUGAAACUUAAAGGAAUU